Molecule: ribosomal RNA, 120 nt
Filed under: uncultured bacterium
Lineage: Bacteria
Description: partial 16S ribosomal RNA
Rfam family: Bacterial small subunit ribosomal RNA
Source: RNAcentral
CACGCCGUAAACGGUGGGUACUAGGUGUGGGUUUCCUUCCUUGGGAUCCGUGCCGUAGCUAACGCAUUAAGUACCCCGCCUGGGGAGUACGGCCGCAAGGCUAAAACUCAAAGAAAUUGA